RNAcentral lists this ribosomal RNA (955 nucleotides) under uncultured bacterium. Its description in RNAcentral is "bacterial SSU rRNA". It matches the Rfam family "Bacterial small subunit ribosomal RNA", at positions 8 to 917 of the family's 1533-position model. The record is from RNAcentral.
AGAGUUUGAUCCUGGCUCAGGAUGAACGCUGGCGGCGUGCCUAAUACAUGCAAGUCGAACGAACUUCCGUUAAUUGAUUAUGACGUGCUUGCACUGAAUGAGAUUUUAACACGAAGUGAGUGGCGGACGGGUGAGUAACACGUGGGUAACCUGCCCAGAAGCAGGGGAUAACACCUGGAAACAGAUGCUAAUACCGUAUAACAGAGAAAACCGCCUGGUUUUCUUUUAAAAGAUGGCUCUGCUAUCACUUCUGGAUGGACCCGCGGCGCAUUAGCUAGUUGGUGAGGUAACGGCUCACCAAGGCGAUGAUGCGUAGCCGACCUGAGAGGGUAAUCGGCCACAUUGGGACUGAGACACGGCCCAGACUCCUACGGGAGGCAGCAGUAGGGAAUCUUCCACAAUGGACGCAAGUCUGAUGGAGCAACGCCGCGUGAGUGAAGAAGGGUUUCGGCUCGUAAAGCUCUGUUGUUAAAGAAGAACGUGGGUGAGAGUAACUGUUCACCCAGUGACGGUAUUUAACCAGAAAGCCACGGCUAACUACGUGCCAGCAGCCGCGGUAAUACGUAGGUGGCAAGCGUUAUCCGGAUUUAUUGGGCGUAAAGCGAGCGCAGGCGGUCUUUUAAGUCUAAUGUGAAAGCCUUCGGCUCAACCGAAGAAGUGCAUUGGAAACUGGGAGACUUGAGUGCAGAAGAGGAUAGUGGAACUCCAUGUGUAGCGGUGAAAUGCGUAGAUAUAUGGAAGAACACCAGUGGCGAAGGCGGCUGUCUGGUCUGUAACUGACGCUGAGGCUCGAAAGUAUGGGUAGCGAACAGGAUUAGAUACCCUGGUAGUCCAUGCCGUAAACGAUGAUUACUAAGUGUUGGAGGGUUUCCGCCCUUCAGUGCUGCAGCUAACGCAUUAAGUAAUCCGCCUGGGGAGUACGACCGCAAGGUUGAAACUCAAAGGAAUUGACGGG